Macaca mulatta (Rhesus monkey) is the source of this 2047-nucleotide long non-coding RNA. The record is from Ensembl. NCBI's taxonomy places the organism in Eukaryota, Metazoa, Chordata, Mammalia, Primates, Cercopithecidae.
UAUCAGAAACGUGUAUUCUUUUUCUUUUAAUAGUAAACCUCUUUACAACAAAUAUAGUGAAAGAGUUUUCAAACAAAACUCAUAAGAAUCUCGAGGACUUUUGUCUUUUCUUAUUGUGUAGAAUACUAAGAAAGCAUCACCAUACAGCACGAAAAGAAAUAUUGAAAACAAAUCAACAGCCUCACACUUGGACUCGCCCUGCCCCAGGAGCCAGGAAGAGCCCCAGGAGUGUGGGUGAUUGUCAGGUGUGGGGGCGGGGCACCUCCAUGGCCCGUCCUGCCCCUCCCUUCCUCGUCCUCACCACCUCCCUCCCUCUGGGACUUGAAUGGGGAAGAGGAGAGAAUCCAGAGUCUCCAUUCCAGCCUCCCUCCCCCCAUACAAAUGCCAUUCCUUCUACCAACCGGUUUAAGGGGGGAUUCCAAAGAGUCAGUUAAAAAUAUAUAGAGAUAUAGAUAUUUCUAGAUACACUUUUACAUUUCUGUCUCUCCAAACAAAUAAAUAAUCAGCAAGAGAAGGUGCAUUACUUCCUUCCUGUCCAAGGUGGGGAGGGUUGGGAGGGGGUCAGGGGUCAGUCUCGCUGCACCGAGCGUGCUGUUGAGAGGGGAGGAUGGUGUGUUCCAUUGAGGUGGUGGUGGGGGGUCCUCUUGCCCACUGUCCCUGAAAGCUGUGGGAAACCUGGGGAGGGGAGGGCCAUUAGAUGACUCCAGUGGUUACUUUGGCAAAUGCCCAGUUCUUCAGAGGGAGUGGGUGGAGGCGAAUUUGGCUUGAGAGGAAGAAGCCAUUAAGUCCCCAUCUGAGGUCUGGGUUCCCAGGGACCCAUUCAUCUGGCCGCCCAGGAGCCCCUACCCCCAAGAGAAACCUUCGGAUACUGAACUGCAGAAAUGUCACAUAUUCACAGACCACCCUGUCCCCAGGGACAGAGAAGAAAGGACACAGAAACAUCCACACAUGGUAAUCAAAAGCCAGGUUUGCCUUUAUGAGGCAGAGGGCAAAACUGGUGAAUAUUGCACCGUGAACUGCAGGGGCCCUCACCCCCACCCCGUGUUUAAUGGUGGCCAAGCCUAGUCUAGAAAGGUGGGCAGACUAAUGGUGGGAAUAGCCUGAGAAGGGAAGGCCAGUCAUUCAUUUAUUCAGCACCUAUCAUUCAACCAUUCACCCAUUCAGCAUUGAUUGAGUGCCUACUAUGUGCCAGGCACUGGGCGAGGCUCUGGGGAUGCAUGCAUGAACAAGAUUACACCCUGGCUUCUUUCAAGCCCUGGAUCGAGGCUCAUCAGUUUUUGAAACUUCUUCUAGAAGCCUGCAGGGGAGGUGGGAAGGCUGGACGUGCUGCCCCCACCCAGUCAGCGGAUUGGGGUUAAGAGUAAGAACGGGGCCGGGCGCGGUGGCUCAAGCCUGUAAUCCCAGCGCUUUGGGAGGCCGAGGCGGGCAGAUCACGAGGUCAGGAGAUGGAGACCAUCCUGGCUAACACAGUGAAACCCCGUCUCUACUAAAAAUACAAAAAAUUUAGCCGGGCGUGGUGGCGGGCGCCUGUAGUCCCAGCUACUCGGGAGGCUGAGGCAGGAGAAUAGCGUGAACCCAGGAGGCGGAGCUUGCAGUUAGCUGAGAUCGCGCCACUGCACUCCAGCCUGGGGGACAGAGCGAGACUCCGUCUCAAAAAAAAAAAAAAAAAGAGUAAGAACGGAUCACUGCUCAGCUGAGGGAGAAGCUUGCUUCACGGAGGAAGAGGGACUUGAGUUUUGCUCUGAAAGCAGGUCUGGGGUUGGAGAAAGAGGGUACUCCAGGAACUGUGUGUCAAGCAUGGGCAACUAAGUGGACAAAUGUGGGUGGAAGCAGAGGUCCCUGGAGGGAGAGGCCCUGGCAGAGGUAGGGCUGCAGGGAGAAGCACAGAGGGCUAACUGCCCAUCCCCCCAACUGCAGUUCAAUGCGUCAGAGCUGAGGGUGAACACAGGGAAAUGAGCAGGGAAGAUGGGAGUUGGGGUCCCAGGGCUGUGGAGCUGGAGCAGCCAACUGUCCCUUUGUAAACACACACCAGGCACACUCAGACUCA